Molecule: ribosomal RNA, 429 nt
Filed under: Acidobacteriota bacterium
Lineage: Bacteria; Pseudomonadati; Acidobacteriota
Description: Acidobacteria bacterium partial 16S ribosomal RNA
Rfam family: Bacterial small subunit ribosomal RNA
Source: RNAcentral
UGGGGAAUUUUGGACAAUGGGGGAAACCCUGAUCCAGCCAUCCCGCGUGUGCGAUGAAGGCCUUCGGGUUGUAAAGCACUUUUGGCAGGAAAGAAACGUCAUGGGUUAAUACCCCGUGAAACUGACGGUACCUGCAGAAUAAGCACCGGCUAACUACGUGCCAGUAGCCGCGGUAAUACGUAGGGUGCAAGCGUUAAUCGGAAUUACUGGGCGUAAAGCGUGCGCAGGCGGUUCGGAAAGAAAGAUGUGAAAUCCCAGAGCUCAACUUUGGAACUGCAUUUUUAACUACCGGGCUAGAGUGUGUCAGAGGGAGGUGGAAUUCCGCGUGUGGCAGUGAAAUGCGUAGAUAUGCGGAGGAACACCGAUGGCGAAGGCAGCCUCCUGGGAUAACACUGACGCUCAUGCACGAAAGCGUGGGGAGCAAACAGG